UGCCCGGGGAGGAGUCUGGCCUCUUCAGCUCCUGUGUGGUGGCCUGAUAUUCAGUCUGUGAGCUGGGAGCCUGUUGGCAGGUCCCUCUUUUUAUUUUCGCUGAGAGCUUUCUUUUACUAAAUGCCACCAUCCUUACCUUUCAAGGUGUCUGCGUGCCUAAUUUUUCCUGGUUGUUAGACAAGAACCCGGAUUUUAGUUGAACUCUGGAGCAAAAAUCCUGCAUCAUUUGUAGGUCAACAACAAGAGGCCAGGACCUCCCAAGAAAAGCUUUACUAAUGUAAUAGCUUUGGCCAAGUCCACCCAAUAUAUUUUCCUCUCUGCAAAGAGAAACAAGCUAUUGUCUCAUCUUAGGUUUCAUCUUCUUCCAUGCCACUGUUAUUCAUGUUCAAAUCCUGGCUGUCCUUCAGGGUCCAAUUCAAAUGAUUAUCGCCAUUUUCUAUUAAUGUCAUUUCUUCCUAUUUUCUACCUUUUGUUAGCUAUGUUAAAGUGUUUCUUUACCAACAUCCCCCAUAUAUUGUGUAACACAGUGUCUAUGGCUUACUCAUUUUUGAAUCCUUAUCAUGACCUGACAUAAUGAAGAUUCUUAGUACAUAGUGAUACAUGUAAAUAUGAGUUAAUUAGUACAUGAUAGACUUGAUUUCCAGAAUGAUUUUGUAUAGUUGAAUUGUGUAGUAAGGGGACACAUGUGAAAUGAAGACUUUAGUCAGUAUCAAGAAGAUAUUUUGGGUGACUUCACAUAUCUGCCAAUGAUAAAUCUAGAAACAAUAGGUGCUUGGGUAGGUGAUUUCCUUUUGCCUUCUUUAUCAUUGUUUUCCCAGUAUUUCUUACAUUCAUCUAAUUUCAUUAGAUGCCCAUAUACUUUAUACUGGCUCUUCCUGUGAGGUUCGAACUGGUCCAGUCCAUUUGUUUUCAGAAUUGAUUCAUCUGGAGAGUCAUCUCCUAUCCUCCCAAACAAUGAUAUACCAGUCUGAGGACUGUGUAGAAGGGACUUCUCUUUCUACUCAGUAUGACCAAAAUAAUUCAAUUCUAGUUGUGGUGUGUGAUUUAUGAAUAUUUUGUCCUUUAGUUUGUGUGAGCCAAUUUUGUGCCAUAAGAAUUUUAGCCUCCUUUUCCACAAAAGAGUGAUUUAAUCAAACAAAAGUUGACAAUCAAUGUAGUACAUUUGUGUGACAGUGAUUAAACAUGGUGUUUUUCUCUUAGGUGUCUGAGUAGAUUUGGAAAUGCCCAUUCAGCCCUCAGAGCUCCUCUGCUUUAAGGGUGAUGGACUUCCUGUACCACUACGUAGUGCAUGAGUGCCAGCCACUGGUAUCUAGAACUGUGAUUAGUGAGGAAACACUAGGAGGAACAAACAACCCAACUCUUUUUAUCUAAUCUGUUGACUCCAAAGGGACCUUCUGCUUAUUCCAGUUAAAACUCAAGCUGCAAUUCAAAAUGAAAUCAGUAUCUUUUUUCUCUACUUUUCAGCAAAGCAAGAUGCUACCUUAUAAUUACCACGUAACAAUCAAUCGCAAACAUAGUGGCUUAAAGCAGCUCCUCUUUUAGCCUACAUAUCUGCAAACUGGCAGUCUGGACUGAGCUCAGCUGGAUGUUUUUUCUGAGCUGAUCAUGUAUGUAGGGUCUGCUGCUGGCUGGUUUAGACUGAUGGUGGAUGAGAAACCACAUGAAGAAGAGAGGCAUGAUGGUGGCAGAGUUCUGAAAGAGUCACACAGAAGGGCGUUGAGUUCGUGGCUUGAAAAUAGCAUCCUGUCACUUCUACCACAUUCUAUUUACCAGGCCAGCCCAGAUAAAGAUGUGAAGAAACAGACUCCAUCUCUUGAUGGGAGAAGUUGAAAAUCAAUGGAAAAUGGCAUGGAUAAGGAAAGGAGUGAUGAUUGUGGCCAUAUUUGUAAUGGCCAUAUUUGAUACCCUUUUCAGUUUUCCUAGCCACACUUCUCAUUGGCCAGGAAAAUUAAAUGCAUGUCAACACUGAAGAAAACAGAUCUUGGUUAAAAGCAAUGAUGUAGCUAAUAUCCCGUUCAGGUAAAAGAUUACUUAUAUAGUGUGAGACAGGCAUGAGGCAGAGAAGUGCUUACAGGUUGGUUUCUGCUUUGUUAGCAGAUUUACUUUUAGAUCAUAUACUACUUUGUUUUUACUGUUUUAUUGAGAAAAAAUAACAAAUAUUUCCAAAAUUUUGCAGCAUGCAACUCAGUGCUUCAGUUGGCAUUCAAUCAAAAUUUCCUUGAAAUAAAAAAAGACAAGAGAGAGACUUGGAAUUAUGACUCUUCUACUAGAUUAGCUCCUUCAUGUCAAAAUCUGUCAAGUUUAUGAUUUAUUCAGAUAGCACUUGUUUUUGGUGUAAUAACUAAACUGUUGCUUUAGAGUCUACUACAUUCUCCUCUAUUAUUUGGCAUUUUUCUCUUUAUUAUUUUGUUCAAGUAGGAUAUUGUGCUGAGUUGAACCAUGAAAUGAAUUGUAUUGAGCAACAUCAACAACAUAAAUAUUCUGGGGUGUCAUCUGCAUUUUCAUAUCUGGCUGCUCAAAUUCUUUUUACAGCUAUAGCUUUGAUAAUAAUGUAAUAGCAUAAUGUUUUUCAUUAGAUAUCAAAUCAUAGAAGACAACAAAGAUGUGUUAAGUUAGCAUAGUUUAAUAUAAGGAAACAACAGCAUCAGUAAAAGCAUUGAGCACUAAAUAUCUCUUCCAUUUCAGUUCUUUUACAGGAAGCUUUUGUUACGUGUUGUCAGCACAUUGCUGUGAUGCUCAAGUAUAGCUCUUUAAUGUGAAAACCUGGUAUUUGGGCAUGGCUUGAAGCAGGUGGGUGUCAUUGUGACUGGCUGCUACCUCCCCAUGAGUCUUCUAAAAUAAAACCUGCAAAUUCACAUCUUCCCCAUGCUUCCAGAGAAUGCAUAUUCUUCCUUUGAAAAAAGAAAACCAGGUAGUCGUACAGUGUCCAGAAGGCAAAAGGACAAGUAUGCACUGCCCUACUUACCUACUUUCCACACUGCUGCACAGGAAAAUCUGACAGAGGACAAUAACAAACAUCUCACCAGCUCAUGCGUUCUUUUUUGAUCCUAAUUCCGAGAGACUCACCAAAGACAUGAAGAGAAAACAAACAAUACUUUUCUUGGAAAUAUUGUAAUUGCUGGUACAUUUGUUGUUCUGGCAUAAAGUAGAAAUUGUCAGUUACCAGAACAAUACUCAGUGAACUUAUGAAUAUAUGGUAAAUAUUAAACACAUCCCACUUGGAUGAGAAGAUAUGUGAGUCGAUGAGUAUAGCUAAGUCUAAAGUUAGAUGUGUUCCAUAAACAUAGUGUUUAUGGAGUUGGUGCAUAUUCACUUCUCAGUAAGUUACACUUUCUUAAUUUCUUUUUGGUGCUAGGUGAUAUUCUGCUAAGUACACAUAAGUAUAGUAAUAUUGGUUAGUAAACUAGUAAAAUGCUCCCCUAGCUAUUAGUAAAUAGCUUCUGCCUUGUGUCUCCAAAAUAUCUCUACCAUUAUCCUGAUCUUGAUUGCUAUUUUAUAUUAAAAGAAGACAUGUGAAUGUAUAUGAACAUUUAAAAAAAUUGUUAUUUCUUAUUUACCUUUAAAAAUACAGUGUGCUGUACUAGUACUACUACUAAUAAAUAGCAUCAUUGACUCAUAGAUCACUUACUAUCAGCCAGGCAGUCCUAAGUAUUCCACUUACAUUAACUCACUUAAUGCAUGCAACAAUGCUAUGAGGCACUAUUUUUAUCAUUUGCAUAUUUACAUAUAAGGAAACAGAGACACUAAUAUUAAGUAGUAAGAGACAUAAAUGGGAGUCGAAGUUCCAUAGUCUAUUAAUAGUUUUGGAGUUCAGGAUAGUCUCUAUUACUCUAACCUACCUCAUUAAGCAGCAUCCUUGACUAUUCUAGGUAAAGAGUAUUGUAUUCUUUUCUAAGAUAAAAACAUGACUUGCUACUAUAUUUGUUUGGAUUCAGCUUUACUGGAACACAGCUUAGCUUUGACAUUUACAGACAUGGGUUAGGUUUCAUUUUGUUGCAAGAUAAAAGGCAAUCUGAUAUUUAGUUUACCUGCAAAAGGCAGUUAGGAAGCCCUAGAGGAACCUAAUUAAAAUGCAGCACAUUUCCAAGGCACCAUAUCUUGCUGUGUUGCCAUAGAAACAACGAGGAUUUCUGGUCACUGACCUUCCAGGGAAUCUGAGGAUGUAUUUUCAUAAGGUUCAUAAGAGAAGCCAUCCUAGUAUGUUAACCUAUAGUUGCAGAUCAACUAUACGUUAUGGAAAUUCCCUAUGCAAUUCUAGCCAAUUUUAAAACCAAAUUAUACUAGCAAAACUUACUAGAGGCUCAAACUAAGGGCUCUUUGAAGGAAUGUGGUUUAACUGCUUCCAAUAUAAGAUUUCAAAUAAUUAAGGAUACUGUAGUAGCAGCAAAAACAUUAAAGAAAAGCUUAGGUAAUUACACAAAGAACAUUGGAACUAAAAUCAUAUUUAGGAAUAGUUUCAAUGUUAUAUCUAUUCUAUUGCAUUUUGGGUUCUUCAAUUCUAGGCUUACUCAAAGGAUAAAACGAACAUUACUGCAUCAAUCAACUACACCUAGAAAAUCAAACUUUAUUAUACAAUAUUAAGUUGCUAAUAUUAUUUAUACCUAUAGAUUCUUAAUUCAUGCCCUUUACUAUCUAUUUAUAAAUUCAUUCAUUCCAUUACUAAAUAUGUAUAAUUGACAAUCCCAGUUAUACCUUAAUUUAUAUUUUUUUGUCUAUUUGACAUAAGCCAAGUACCCAUGCCAUGAUUCAACACAGAAAAUUACAAAGCCCACCUUACUGUAGACUGCUGCUCUUAUUGCAUCAACAUUCGUAUCUUCCACGGAAAAUAAUUAACUUAGUUCUAUAAUCAGGAUAUGCCCGGUUUAUUUACAAGGAAAUACCUAUCAGGUGCUAAUUUCUCUUAGAAUUAGAAAUCUUGGCCAGGCAUGGUGGCUCACACCUGUAAUCCCAGCACUUUGGGAGGCCGAGGUAGGUGGAUUA
RNAcentral lists this long non-coding RNA (4980 nucleotides) under Homo sapiens (human). RNAcentral describes it as "HSALNT0320921". Lineage: Eukaryota; Metazoa; Chordata; Mammalia; Primates; Hominidae. The record is from RNAcentral.